Non-coding RNA from Schizosaccharomyces pombe (fission yeast), 282 nucleotides. The record is from the annotation of a GenBank genome assembly. NCBI's taxonomy places the organism in Eukaryota, Fungi, Ascomycota, Schizosaccharomycetes, Schizosaccharomycetales, Schizosaccharomycetaceae.
AUUGUUUGGUCCUUCUUCAGCCUUAGCUGCUUGUGCAACAGUCGUAGCACGUCGCGUCAACCCUUUCGAAGAAACAACUUCCUCAGAAUCAUCACCAUUGUUUAAGUGUGCCAAAUACGGGUUCUUUGACUCUUGCCUUAGUUUCUUCUGAGCUGGUUCCAUAGUCGAAAAUCGCCCUUAUAUAAACCCUUCCCACAAUUCUGUAAAUGGCGAAGAACACAGUGCAUACUCCGUACUACAAGCAGUUAAAGAAUUUUCCAACAAACCAUCUAUCUUAACAUU